RNAcentral lists this ribosomal RNA (562 nucleotides) under uncultured bacterium. RNAcentral's name for it is "partial 16S ribosomal RNA". It matches the Rfam family "Bacterial small subunit ribosomal RNA", at positions 355 to 907 of the family's 1533-position model. The record is from RNAcentral.
UGGGGAAUUUUGGACAAUGGGGGAAACCCUGAUCCAGCCAUCCCGCGUGUGCGAUGAAGGCCUUCGGGUUGUAAAGCACUUUUGGCAGGAAAGAAACGUCGCGGGUUAAUACCCCGCGAAACUGACGGUACCUGCAGAAUAAGCACCGGCUAACUACGUGCCAGCAGCCGCGGUAAUACGUAGGGUGCAAGCGUUAAUCGGAAUUACUGGGCGUAAAGCGUGCGCAGGCGGUUCGGAAAGAAAGAUGUGAAAUCCCAGAGCUUAACUUUGGAACUGCAUUUUUAACUACCGGGCUAGAGUGUGUCAGAGGGAGGUGGAAUUCCGCGUGUAGCAGUGAAAUGCGUAGAUAUGCGGAGGAAGCACCGAUGGCGAAGGCAGCCUCCUGGGAUAACACUGACGCUCAUGCACGAAAGCGUGGGGAGCAAACAGGAUUAGAUACCCUGGUAGUCCACGCCCUAAACGAUGUCAACUAGCUGUUGGGGCCUUCGGGCCUUGGUAGCGCAGCUAACGCGUGAAGUUGACCGCCUGGGGGAGUACGGUCGCAAGAUUAAAAACUCAAAUG